This 261-nucleotide ribosomal RNA is filed under the name uncultured bacterium. RNAcentral describes it as "partial 16S ribosomal RNA". It matches the Rfam family "Bacterial small subunit ribosomal RNA", at positions 1120 to 1379 of the family's 1533-position model. The record is from RNAcentral.
AGCGACGUAAUGGCGGGGACUCUAGGAAGACUGCCGGUGCCAAACCGGAGGAAGGUGGGGACGACGUCAAGUCAUCAUGGUCCUUACGUCUAGGGCUACACACGUGCUACAAUGGAUCGGACAGUGGGGGCCGAGGCAGCAAUGCCAAGGCAAUCCCAAAACCGGUCCUCAGUUCGGAUUGUCGUCUGCAACUCGACGGCAUGAAGCUGGAAUCGCUAGUAAUCGUGGAUCAGCAUCGCCACGGUGAAUACGUUCCCGGGC